GACGAACGCUGGCGGCGUGCUUAACACAUGCCAGUCGAACGGAAAGGCCCUGCUUUUGUGGGGUGCUCGAGUGGCGAACGGGUGAGUAACACGUGAGUAACCUGCCCUUGACUUUGGGAUAACUUCAGGAAACUGGGGCUAAUACCGGAUAGGAGCUCCUGCUGCAUGGUGGGGGUUGGAAAGUUUCGGCGGUUGGGGAUGGACUCGCGGCUUAUCAGCUUGUUGGUGGGGUAGUGGCUUACCAAGGCUUUGACGGGUAGCCGGCCUGAGAGGGUGACCGGCCACAUUGGGACUGAGAUACGGCCCAGACUCCUACGGGAGGCAGCAGUGGGGAAUAUUGCACAGUGGGCGGAAGCCUGAUGCAGCAGCGCCGCGUGCGGGAUGACGGCCUUCGGGUUGUAAACCGCUUUCGCCUGUGACGAAGCGUGAGUGACGGUAAUGGGUAAAGAAGCACCGGCUAACUACGUG
RNAcentral lists this ribosomal RNA (468 nucleotides) under uncultured bacterium. Its description in RNAcentral is "partial 16S ribosomal RNA". It matches the Rfam family "Bacterial small subunit ribosomal RNA", at positions 28 to 507 of the family's 1533-position model. The record is from RNAcentral.